Molecule: ribosomal RNA, 403 nt
Filed under: uncultured bacterium
Lineage: Bacteria
Description: partial 16S ribosomal RNA
Rfam family: Bacterial small subunit ribosomal RNA
Source: RNAcentral
GACGAACGCUGGCGGCGUUCCUAAUACAUGCAAGUCGAACGCAGUGGGGACGGGUGAGUAACACGUGGGUCACCUCCCAUCAGAGGGGAUAACACUUGGAAACAGGUGCUAAACCGAUCCUGAUGGAUGGACUCGCGGUGCAUUAGCUAUUUGGUGAGGUAACGGCUCACCAAGGACACGAUGCAUAGCCGACCUGAGAGGGUGAUCGGCCACACUGUUACUGAGACACGGCCCAGACUCCUACGGGAGGCAGCAGGAGGGAAUCUUCGGCAAUGGACGAAAGUCUGACCGAGCGACGCCGCGUGAGUGAAGAAGGUUUUCGGAUCGUAAAACUCUGUUGUUAGAUAAGCGGUAUCUAACCAGAAAGCCACGGCUAACUACGUGCCAGCAGCCGCGGUAAUUC